CCUACGGGUGGCAGCAGUAGGGAAUAUUCCGCAAUGGGGGAAACCCUGACGCAGCAACGCCGCGUGGAUGAUGAAGGUUUUAGGAUUGUAAACUCCUUUUGUUAGAGAAGAUUAUGACGGUAUCUAACGAAUAAGCACCGGCUAACUCCGUUCCAGAAGCCGCAGUAAUACGGAGGGUGCAAGCGUUACUCGGAAGCACUGGGCGUAAAGAUUGCGUAGGCGGGGUAAUAAGUCAGAUGUGAAAUCCUGUUGCUUAAAUAUAGAACUGCAUUGGAAACUGUUACUAUGGAGGGUGGGAGAGGGAGGUGGAAUUCUUGGUGUAGGGGUAAAAUCCGUAGAGAUCAAGAGGAAUACUCAUUGCGAAGGCGACCUGCUGGCACAUAACUGACGCUGAGGAGCGAAAGCGUGGGUAGCAAACAGGAUUAGAUACCCGAGUAGUC
This 440-nucleotide ribosomal RNA is filed under the name uncultured bacterium. RNAcentral's name for it is "partial 16S ribosomal RNA". It matches the Rfam family "Bacterial small subunit ribosomal RNA", at positions 338 to 795 of the family's 1533-position model. The record is from RNAcentral.